This 129-nucleotide transfer RNA is filed under the name Opeltia flavorubescens. Its description in RNAcentral is "tRNA-Pro (AGG) (tRNA-Pro-AGG-1-1)". The record is from RNAcentral. Lineage: Eukaryota; Fungi; Ascomycota; Lecanoromycetes; Teloschistales; Teloschistaceae.
GCUCCGAUGGUCUAGUUCGUUUGCCUGAAUUCCUUGUGCUUAAGGUGCGAUUUACUGACUCAUGGAACCAGGUGGUAUGAUUCUCGCUUAGGGUGCGAGAGGCCCCGCGUUCGAAUCGCGGUUGGAGCC